GCCGCUGUAGCUCAGUUGGUAGAGCGACGCUCUCGUAAAGCGUAGGUCACCGGUCCGAUUCCGGUCAGCGGCUCCA
This 76-nucleotide transfer RNA is filed under the name bacterium. RNAcentral describes it as "tRNA-Thr". It matches the Rfam family "tRNA". Rfam says of the family: Transfer RNA (tRNA) molecules are approximately 80 nucleotides in length. Their secondary structure includes four short double-helical elements and three loops (D, anti-codon, and T loops). The record is from RNAcentral.